UGUGUGGGGGCAUCUAGAUAAGGCGCGCGUACUGGCUGUUGAGUGCACAGGUGUUUUAGUCAGGGUGUGGCGAUAAUCUGGAAUUACGUCUUCUGGGCUGAGGGCUCGCUGCUGAAGAAAGAAGAAGUAGGAUGUGGAGCUCUACAGUGAGCAUAUGGAAGAAAGAGAAGGAGGAAGAGGCUGACUACGGAUGGGCAAAGGGAGAGGCUCCCUGGGCAAAAGGAAGAAGCGGGACGCGGAGCUUCGAGGCAACUGCGGGGAAGAGGCGGAAGGAAGAGGCCGACUACGGACGGGCAAAGGGAAGAAGAGGAAGGAAGA
Non-coding RNA from Coturnix japonica (Japanese quail), 318 nucleotides. The record is from RefSeq and is a predicted model, not a curated record. NCBI's taxonomy places the organism in Eukaryota, Metazoa, Chordata, Aves, Galliformes, Phasianidae.